AGUGAACGCUGGCGGCAGGCCUAACACAUGCAAGUCGAACGGCAGCACAGUAAGAGUUUGCUCUUACGGGUGGCGAGUCGCGGACGUGUGACGAAUAUAUCGGACCCUUCUCUUUCGUGGGGGAUAACGUAGGGAAACUUACGCUAAUACCGCAUAUGCUCUACCGGGGAAAGCAGUGGAUCGUCUGAGCUUGCGGGAAUGAACUAGCGGAUGCUGGAUUAGUUAGUUGGGUGGGUAAAGGCCCACCAAGGCGACGAUCCGUAGCCGAUCUGAGAGGAUGAUCGGCCACACUGGAACUGAGACACGGUCCAGACUCCUACGGGAGGCAGCAGUAGGGAAUAUUGGGCAAUGGGCGCAAGCCUGACACAGCCAUACCGCGUGAGUGAAGAAGGCCUUCGGGUUGUAAAGCCCUUUUGUUGGGGAAGAACAGCUGCAGAUUAAGACCCCGCUGUACUGACGGUACCCAAUGAAUAAGCACCGGCUAACUACGUG
RNAcentral lists this ribosomal RNA (492 nucleotides) under uncultured bacterium. RNAcentral describes it as "partial 16S ribosomal RNA". It matches the Rfam family "Bacterial small subunit ribosomal RNA", at positions 29 to 507 of the family's 1533-position model. The record is from RNAcentral.